UGGGGAAUCUUGGUCAAUGGGCGCAAGCCUGAACCAGCGACGCCGCGUGAGUGAUGAAGGCCUUCAGGUUGUAAAGCUCUGUGGGGAGAGACGAAAGAAUCGGUUCUAACAGGACCGAAGUUGACGGUAUCUCCUUAGCAAGCACCGGCUAACUCUGUGCCAGCAGCCGCGGUAAGACAGAGGGUGCAAACGUUGCUCGGAAUCACUGGGCGUAAAGGGCGUGUAGGCGGGCAGAUAAGUCGGGCGUGAAAUCCCCAGGCUCAACCUGGGAACUGCACUCGAAACUGUUUGUCUUGAGUAUCGGAGAGGAAAGCGGAAUACCUGGUGUAGAGGUGAAAUUCGUAGAUAUCAGGUGGAACACCAGUGGCGAAGGCGGCUUUCUGGACGAUAACUGACGCUGAGACGCGAAAGCGUGGGGAGCAAAC
Molecule: ribosomal RNA, 425 nt
Filed under: uncultured bacterium
Lineage: Bacteria
Description: bacterial SSU rRNA
Rfam family: Bacterial small subunit ribosomal RNA
Source: RNAcentral